This 1048-nucleotide long non-coding RNA is filed under the name Oryctolagus cuniculus (rabbit). Its description in RNAcentral is "lncRNA (ENSOCUG00000031480.1)". The record is from RNAcentral. Lineage: Eukaryota; Metazoa; Chordata; Mammalia; Lagomorpha; Leporidae.
CAGCCCUGGGCGUGGUGCCGGCCGUGCCCUCUGCGCAGACCACGGGCCGGCAGUAUGUGCACCCGCCACUCACGCGCCAUGAGCCAGGGCACUUUGGAAGCUGGCGGCCCCCUCUGGGGCUGGGAUUGGGACGGUGACGAUGACUGGGAAGGAGCUGUGCUGGCCCUGCUGGCCCUGGCUGUGGUGGCCGCCACAGCGCUGGCUUUGCACUGGUUUGGCCCCGGGCAGGAUCAGCAGGCAGCAAGACCGGAGUCCUCAGCCCCCGGGACCCAGCCUGCCCAGGCGGGAGGAGCCAGGCCGACUCUGCACCCAAAGCCCAAGGUCAGUGGUGGCCACGAGGGACAGAGCCCAGGGCAGGGGAAGCCAGGUCCUCUGGGAUGUGGCCAUGGGGGCCAGGCUGCGGCAGGAGCCCAGGGCUGCGAACCCUCUGGAGGUGGGGACCUACACCCCAAAGCCAGGCUUCUGCCCAAGACCCCGGGCGAGGCGCUCGGCAGAGGGACCUUGGGACAGCAGCAUGGCGGCGCCACCCCAGAAGCCCCCGGAGGUAGAAGAAGGGAGCCCCUGGAGCUAAGCACUGCCCUCUUGGGUGGGAGCCAAGCAGGGGGCGCGCCUGCCCCGGUCGUGAUCCACUUCACCCCGCGAAGUCCUGGCAGCGAAGCCGAUGUGCAGCCGGAGGUGGGACGCGUCAGCACCAAGGGCCCAGAGCACCGGGACUCCAGCCGCUGGCAGCUGGGUGCGGGGCUUCCUGGAGCACCAGAGCGAGGCCGGGGCAGCCGGCGGCGGCACAGGGACGCAGGCUCCGGGGACAGAACCCGCCACCGCCCGAAGCCCGACCCACGCCGUCUGGGCACGGUGGCCAGCGUGUGGGACGCAGUGGAUGCGGCGUCUGCUGCUGCCGACUCUGGCGCUCACGCUCGCAGCCCCUGCGCUCAGCGCCCUGCAGUCCAGGAGCUGUCUCCGGGCCGCGCCCCGUACACUGGAUCUGGGUCCGACAGCCCGGAGGGCAGACGAGGGAAGAGCAGCCGCCAGCCAGCCCCAGCCCCAGGUC